Molecule: ribosomal RNA, 965 nt
Filed under: Tanylypa sp. COL172
Lineage: Eukaryota; Metazoa; Arthropoda; Insecta; Coleoptera; Tenebrionidae
Description: SSU rRNA
Rfam family: Eukaryotic small subunit ribosomal RNA
Source: RNAcentral
UUGUCUCAAAGAUUAAGCCAUGCAUGUCUCAGUACAAGCCAAAUUAAGGUGAAACCGCGAAAGGCUCAUUAAAUCAGUUAUGGUUCCUUAGAUCGUACCCACAUUUACUUGGAUAACUGUGGUAAUUCUAGAGCUAAUACAUGCAAACAGAGCCCCGACCGGAGACGGAAGGGGCGCUUUUAUUAGAUCAAAACCAAUCGGUGGCGGUUUCCGUCAUCGUAUAACUUGGUGACUCUGAAUAACUUUACGCUGAUCGCACGGUCUCGCACCGGCGACGCAUCUUUCAAAUGUCUGCCUUAUCAACUGUCGAUGGUAGGUUCUGCGCCUACCAUGGUUGUAACGGGUAACGGGGAAUCAGGGUUCGAUUCCGGAGAGGGAGCCUGAGAAACGGCUACCACAUCCAAGGAAGGCAGCAGGCGCGCAAAUUACCCACUCCCGGCACGGGGAGGUAGUGACGAAAAAUAACGAUACGGGACUCAUCCGAGGCCCCGUAAUCGGAAUGAGUACACUCUAAACCCUUUAACGAGGAUCAAUUGGAGGGCAAGUCUGGUGCCAGCAGCCGCGGUAAUUCCAGCUCCAAUAGCGUAUAUUAAAGUUGUUGCGGUUAAAAAGCUCGUAGUCGAAUCUGUGUCCCGCGCCGCCGGUUCAUCGUUCGCGGUGUUAACUGGCGUGCCGCGGGACGUCCUGCCGGUGGGCUUAGCUCGAGAGGGCGGCCCAACUCAAUCCCGCCGCGGUGCUCUUCAUUGAGUGUCGAGGUGGGCCGGCACGUUUACUUUGAACAAAUUAGAGUGCUUAAAGCAGGCUAAAACUUCGCCUGAAUACUGUGUGCAUGGAAUAAUGGAAUAGGACCUCGGUUCUAUUUUGUUGGUUUUCGGAACCCCGAGGUAAUGAUUAAUAGGAACGGAUGGGGGCAUUCGUAUUGCGACGUUAGAGGUGAAAUUCUUGGAUCGUCGCACGACGGACAG